AUUGAACGCUGGCGGCAGGCUUAACACAUGCAAGUCGAGCGAGCGGCGGACGGGUGAGCAAUGUCUGGGAAACUGCCUGAUGGAGGGGGAUAACUACUGGAAAAGGUAGCUAAUACCGCAUACCAUCCGAUGGGCCCAGCUGGGAUUAGCUAGUGGGGGGGGUAAUGGCUCACCUGGGCGACGAUCCCUAGCUGGUCUGAGAGGAUGACCAGCCACACUGGAACUUAGACACGGUCCAGACUCCUACGGGAGGCAGCAGUGGGGAAUAUUGCACAAUGGUCGCAAGCCUGAUGCAGCCAUGCCGCGUGUGUGAAGAAGGCCUUCGGGUUGUAAAGCACUUUCAGCGAGGAGGCGUUACUCGCAGAAGAAGCACCGGCUAACUCCGUGCCAGCCGCCGCGGUAAUUC
Molecule: ribosomal RNA, 406 nt
Filed under: uncultured bacterium
Lineage: Bacteria
Description: partial 16S ribosomal RNA
Rfam family: Bacterial small subunit ribosomal RNA
Source: RNAcentral